Molecule: RNA transcript, 5124 nt
Organism: Dunckerocampus dactyliophorus (ringed pipefish)
Lineage: Eukaryota; Metazoa; Chordata; Actinopteri; Syngnathiformes; Syngnathidae
Gene: atxn7l2a
Gene name: ataxin 7-like 2a
Exons: 15
Source: RefSeq, a predicted model, not a curated record
GCGGCUGUUGGGAAGGCGUUUAUCAAAAAGAGCGGGCUUUAUUUUCGUGUAAAGCGGGGACAGAACUAGCCAUGUUACCCAAACAAAGACUCUGCCGGGUCCUAGCGCUGGGUGGGUAACAUGUUGGCUGCACUGGAGCCAUCUGAUUAUGUUGACAUGCGAACUAAAUGUGACCGUUGUAGUUUCCACUGUAUUGUUACAGCUCCCUUUCAAAUCCUAGUCACGGUUUACCGGACAUGCCCAGUUUGACUGAAACGCUGCGGGCAGUCGUGUGUCAGAAUAAAGCUCGUAUGGAAGUGAGCAACUUCUUGCCGUGAAAAGCUAAGCUAGGUCGCUAACAGUGCAGUUAGCUUGAUGAUGCUAAUGCCACUGAGACACAGGUGACAGAGGAGGAGUCUUCUAAUGUUGCUGCCACAGCUUUUGCUGUUAACGACAUUCUUCUUUUGCCUUUAUUCUGCUACUUGACUCCGAUAGCUUCCGUUGCUACCUCAAAUGUACUGACGUUCACCAUGUUUGUGUGCCUGAGGAAUCAUACACUACGUGAAUUGGUACAUAUGAGGAUAUGGCUUCCUGUCCCUCCCAGCCCUGUGUCUACUCACUGCCCACAACAUCAUGUCAUAAUUGAUUGCUAUAUGAACGAUUCUUUGCACACGGGAUAGGUUAUGUUUAACCGACUUACUGCCCCGAUGUGGAUGACUGCAGUAAAAAUGGUGAAAAGGCUGCAGAGGCAAUGUCACUCAGUAAGGAGGAUAUGUCAAUCUUUGGCCUGUACCCUGGCCAUGAUGACUUCUACCUUGUGGUGUGUAGCCACUGUGGUCAAGUCGUGAAGCCACAGGCAUUCGAGAAGCACUGCGAGCGAAGACAUGGCUCCCUGGCCAAACUUUAUGCGCGAAUUCGCUCUCCUACUCCAACUCCACAGCCCCAGCAGAAGCCCCUUCAUAGCCAUUCCCCUUCUCACGGGACCAACGCCAUUCCGUCUUCAUCUUGGGAUGGUCGAGGUCAAGGUGUCGGGUCAGUUCGGCCGGCUCCACCGGCCCCUUCUACACCAACCCAGCACAGACCCACCAAGAACUCCAAGGAAGGAGCACGACAUUUCCCGCUGGAAAAAUCAUCCCACGGCAGCCACACAGAUUCAUCAGUAUUGAAGCAGCUGCCGCCUGCAGAGCUGCCGAUCAGCUCUCCACCCCCGUCCCUUAGAGACCCCCCCUGGCCACACGGAGACACCCCACCCGGUAGGCCUUCACCCACGGACCGGCCCAUCACCCAAAGAAGGGAUUCUUCUCCAGCCUCUGUGGUACCAAGCCACCGUAUUCCCAGACCCUACAACAAAAUGGCCUCCAAGAGAGAGUGUGACUUGGACAAACACUGUGGUGUCCUUGACCCUGACAGGAAGAAAGUCUGCACUCGCCUCCUCACAUGCAAUAUCCACUCCAUCCACCAGCGUAGGAAGGUGUUGGGCCGCAGUAAGAAUUUCGACCAGUUAGUGGCGGAACUGAAGACCAAGGUUCGUGAGAAGGGGGCUCAAUUGCUGGAGGGAGGUGGUUCGGCCUCUGGACGGUCCCCCAGCCCAGAGGCACCAAAAGAGCAAGCUGGAGCUCCACACUGCCGUAGACCUUUGGCCAGCCUCCCUGCUUUCAGUCGCUACACAGGCGUAUCGGACAACACGGCAGAGGACGACAGGCAGCUGCAGGAUGAGGGAAACCUCCGGGCUUCAUCUCCUCUUGUCCAUGGAACAAUUUCCAGUGAUGAAAGUGAUGCAGAAGGAUCAGAGGAGCCCGUUGAGUUCUCAUCUUCUGCUGCACACCCACGACCACUAGCAAUGUGUUCAUUUGGAGGAAGUAUGUUGGGCCAUGGCAUCUACACAUUUGAUAGAAGGCUUCACCAUCUGAGGUCCGCUUUCAGCAGCAUGCUAGAGCAGCACAUCAGUGCACAUCUCUGGAAGAAAAUACCUCAAGCCUCCGACUUUCAGUGUCCAACUUCCUCAGCCAAGAUCAUCACCUCCUCGUCUCCUGCCUCAAUCACCAGCGGAUCCCCGACCUCCUCCUCUUUACAUUCUAAAGUCCGCACCGCCGCUCAUAUCAAGUCCUCUCUCAAGAAUAUUUCAUCUUCAUCUUCCAGUCGUGUGGCUGGGAGAUUGUCAGAGAACUCUGGCGGCGGAGGCGGCGGUAUGGGCGGCAGUCAGUUGGCGUCACCAGGUAAUCCUGUGACGGUGCAUCACACAGGUCCAGGACGGCCCAAGAACCCAGUAGGGCGUCCUAGCAAGCAGAUGCUGAAGCUGCGAGAGGAAGCUACCUCCCAUAAACGCAAAGCCCCCUCCCAGGAGGAGCAUUCAGGCCCAAACAGGAACUGUGUCAUUCUACAUGACCGGGGCCGCCCACCUUCCUCAGCUUCUUCACCAUCUCCCUUCCCGUCCUCCUCUAAAGCCCCCAUUCUCUCACCUCUUCCCCACGGACAGACCAAUGGCACGUUUUCUUCUAGCAGCAAACCCCGCCCCCAGCCUGCCCCCUCAGAGCUCCACUCACCAGCUUCUAAGACAGUUUGGACGUACAGACGGACUCACCCCACACUGGGGCACUCGUCUCCACCAGAGCCCUCGUCCAUCAACAGCUCCCACAGUCGGAACUCCACGGGGGACUCAGGACUACACAGGCAGGGCAGUGGGAGGGGUUUUGAGGGUUUGAUAAAGAAACGCAAGGGAGGCGGCCUUGAGGAACAGUCCCCCUCCUCAAAAUCCUCAGCGCACCUCCUGUCCUCCUCCUCAUCCUCGUCCACUCCUGCCUCCUCUUCUCCUCGCUCCAACUUCUACCCUUGGAAGGACAGUAAGAGUGGGGGCCUAGCGGGGGGCAUGGAGAAGAAGCUGGGCACACAGAAGCCAAAACUGCACCAUUAGUCGUGCCUGCCUUACAAGCCACUAGAGGGAGCCAGCUCGACUCGGUCCAAGAUCGAUGCAACAGGACUGCGUGUGUGCGUGUGUGUGCGUGUGAGACAGACGGCCUGCACUUUUGAAAAUUGGAGAAGGCUUCAGUUCCUUGUGUUCCUGUUUCCAGGACAAGGAUGUUUGGUAGCAUCCCUUCCCUUCUCCACAUUGGCAAAAGGCUUGACACACCUACCAUCAAUUAUAGCAAGGUCAGUUCUCUUUGGGGAGUGUGGAGGUGUUUCACUGUAAGUAGUUGACUACUUACGUGCUUCAUAAAUUGUGAAUCUCUUCACGAAUUUAUGUGGGCUCUAGUAGACAACACACAGUGAGCAGAAGCCGAGGAAGGUAAUAUUACCAUCAUUUCUGAUGAAGGUGACGGAAUUGUUCAGGAGAUCAAACAUGUUGACCUCGACCACCUCUGAAGGCGGGUCCAGAGCCACAAACACCUGCUGGGUCACGGCCAUCUGCGACUGCUCCGCGCACGCCUCGCCCUCCGCUUCCUGUACGGAGAUCAUCUGAUUGGAGAACAGGCCACUUUUAGAUCUGGGUGGAUACUGUAUGUUCACGUGUGAGCAGUCUUACCGUGUGUGUAUUGGCAGCUUGCUCUUCACCGGCCUCCUCCUGUGUCUGCUGGGCCUCCAUGUGGCAGGACAGGAGGUGCUCCUGCAGCUCCAGCUGGGAGGUGCUAACCAGGCUGCAGAGCGGGCAGAUCCAAUGCUUGAUGUUUUUUGUGUGCUGGGAGUUGAUAUGUGCAUGCAACUCAUCAUGGCUGCUGAACACAUCUUGACAGUGCGGGCAGCGCAAGGUGGACGCCGCAGAGCCUGGACACACACACACACACACACAAUGCAGCUGGCGGCACUGGGGAAGAACCUGAAACAGACGUCACACUGGACCAGGGUCUUCAGCUGCCGCGUUUGGCUGGUAAACACAUCAGGGUGGUUGGUCCUGUUAUGGUACCACAGCCCAGACAGUUGCUGUAGCGACAGAGAGAGAACCGUUGACUAAAGAGUACCACUGCAUGGUCACCAAGUUUCACAGGUGCUGAAACACACAAUGAAGAAGCGACCUAUCAGACCUGCAGGGCGACGCUGGUGAAGACUUUGCUGCAGGUGGGGCACUUGUGGAACUCCUUCAGGUGGAACUCCUCGUUGUGCUUCUGAUGCUCCUCCAAAGUCUGGAAGCUGAGGCAGCACUUCGGACAGUCGAGGGCCUGCGGCAGGUCUGACAGGAAGCGGGAGAGCAUGUGAUGUUUGUUUUGGUUAGAUAUUUGAGCUGUCACAAAAGCAAAAAAAAAUUGUGUCAAAGUGAAAGUUAUGCUUGAAAUGCAUCUUAUACAAGAAGCUGGUUUUCUGCCUUUUCUAGUCAGGAACUGAUAUUUUCCUGAAACUUACCUACGUUCUACUGCUGGUUACUAAAGAACAGAAAAAGGUAGAAACAAUUUUUUUUUUCCUGAUGACAGACGGGAAUCUAAUAUUUCUUUUGGCAGGCUCCAUGUUUAUAUAGCCAUAGAACACAAUAUUCUGUGUGCCUUGAAAGAUCAGUCACAAUCGUCUAAAAUGGCCGCUACUGAAGGGGUUGUCUUUUGAAAAAUGGCUGGGAUUGAACGAGUUAAGAAUGAUCAAUACAGUACAGUGAAACUGUACCUUCGAGUGGCCUUUUAUUGUGGCCAGCCAAACGCACACAUGUGCAAUAAUCAUGCUGUCUGCAAUAAUAACAAACAUUUAAAUUAAAUUUGUCAACAAUUUUUGAUAGAAAUAGGCCUUUUGUGUUCAAUCAUGAAAGAUGGGCACAAAAACCAAAGGUGUUUUUGCUAUGCAACCUCAUUAAACAAAAGCUACCUUAACGAUGGAGUGUAUGGGGUGAUUAUGAUGCGCACACACACACACACACAAUGGCUGUGAGUGGGUUCUUACUGUGGAAAGUCUGCAGGUGGACCGUCAAGCCACUGGCCUGGCUGUGGCCUUUCCCGCAUUCCCGACACACGUAGGGCCGAUCACCAGUGUGUGUUCUCACGUGGCGCGAGAGCUCGAUGGACUGGGCGAAGACAGCCUUGCAAUACUGACACGCGUACAUCUUACCUGAACCCACAAACAGCAACAUGUGACCUCUGCAUUUAAGCCAUCACUGUGUGAACAACAAUCUCACACAUAAAUGUGUGCUGGCGUGAGUGUGUCUCACCCUCUGAGUGUUUCUUCUUGGUGUGG